Molecule: ribosomal RNA, 274 nt
Filed under: uncultured bacterium
Lineage: Bacteria
Description: partial 16S ribosomal RNA
Rfam family: Bacterial small subunit ribosomal RNA
Source: RNAcentral
AUACGGAGGGGGCUAGCGUUGUUCGGAAUUACUGGGCGUAAAGGGCACGUAGGCGGACCAGCCAGUCAGGCGUGAAAGCCCCGGGCUUAACCUGGGAACUGCGCUUGAUACUGCUGGUCUAGAGUCCGGGAGAGGGUAGUGGAAUUCCCAGUGUAGAGGUGAAAUUCGUAGAUAUUGGGAAGAACACCGGUGGCGAAGGCGGCUACCUGGACCGGUACUGACGCUAAGGUGCGAAAGCGUGGGGAGCAAACAGGAUUAGAUACCCCGGUAGUCC